Molecule: RNA transcript, 1057 nt
Organism: Cryptomeria japonica (Japanese cedar)
Lineage: Eukaryota; Viridiplantae; Streptophyta; Pinopsida; Cupressales; Cupressaceae
Exons: 2
Source: RefSeq, a predicted model, not a curated record
AAAAAAGAAAAGAAAACUAUUGUAAACCCACAACUGUAAAAUUUGAUGCAAUUAACUGUAUAUAUAUAUAGUGCAUUGGCGGGAAACCUUUGUUCUUGCAUAGCCAACUCUUGUCUAUAGGCAGCGAGCAAAUUUAACCACACACUCUUUGUCCUCUGGAUCACCCUCUGCUAUUACUUUUAGGGUUAUAGAUUCUAAUCUAUAACUAUGUUUUCUCCUUGUUAUCUUGAGGGCCACAUGCCUAGAACCCUGAUCCAGAUGACAAAGAAUGUCUGUUUAAAUUUUUUGCUGAUCUCAUACACACUGCACAGUCAUGUCUGCUUUAGGGGACAAUUGAAGGACUCGUUGAAGCGGCAGUCGUGGAGAGUGGCUCAAGAUUGUGGGAGUGCACCAAAUGAAGAAGAGGAGAAGUUGGGUGUAUUAUGCAUUAAGAAGGAAACCCAUUACAGACAAUUAGAGAAAUCAAUUAAUGGGUUCUAUUCAAUAUUGCCAUGUCUUAUGCUUACGAUUUUCUUUAGAUUUCGUCUAUCUGAAUACAUCAGUUAAGAUGUAGAUGCAAGCAUAUAUAGUUGUUAACAUUUGGCUUUAUAUCUAAGAGGACUGAUUUGAAUAUUCCCUUGGAUGUAUGAAGUCUCAUAUUACUAUAUUGGUCUUUAUCACCAUAACUACAAUUUGUUUCCUAUGCUCUAUGAAAUUUUUGUCAUACAAGAGAAACUAGAGCUUGAACUCGGAUUCUUGGAUUACUGUACAAGCAUUUUCUUCCCCUGUAUAGUUCAAUCGUUUCACAUAGCUCUUAAAUAUUAAAUGCCAUUUUCAUUCGAUUGCAUGUUCUGGGGUUCUCACAUAGCCAAUUCUUGUUUAUCGGCACCAAGAAAGAAGUCCAAAGUCUCUUUAAUCCACUUUUUGGAUUGCUAUUGCAAUUGAUACUGAUUCUGAAUCCCAGCAUGUUAUGUAAAAGGGUCUUAUUAGUUGGGGACUUUUGCUUAGAGUUCAUAUUACUAGUGAAAAUGGAACAUAUAUCACUAACCAUGCAUGAAUUAAAUCAUUGUGGCUUAAA